UACGGAGGGUGCAAGCGUUAUCCGGAUUCACUGGGCUUAAAGGGAGCGUAGGCGGCUUUGUAAGUCAGUGGUGAAAUAUUGCGGCUCAACCGCAAAACUGCCAUUGAUACUGCUUAGCUUGAAUCACGUCGAGGUGGAUGGAAUAAUACAUGUAGCGGUGAAAUGCUUAGAUAUGUAUUAGAACACCGAUUGCGAAGGCAGUUCACUAGGCGUGUAUUGACACUGAGGCUCGAAAGCGUGGGGAUCAAACAGG
This 253-nucleotide ribosomal RNA is filed under the name uncultured bacterium. Its description in RNAcentral is "partial 16S ribosomal RNA". It matches the Rfam family "Bacterial small subunit ribosomal RNA", at positions 524 to 776 of the family's 1533-position model. The record is from RNAcentral.